This 1337-nucleotide long non-coding RNA is filed under the name Haliotis rufescens (red abalone). RNAcentral describes it as "uncharacterized LOC124129001, transcript variant X15". Lineage: Eukaryota; Metazoa; Mollusca; Gastropoda; Lepetellida; Haliotidae. The record is from RNAcentral.
GAUCCAGGAAAUAUUACCUACUACUAGCACAGAGUUGUUAGCAACUAUGACCUGCUACUAGUAGGUACAAAGACGGUCUCUACGUCUCUGGAGACUAACAUUUACUGCUACUACUAGGUAACGGCAAAGGAGCAUGUCUAAAAUGAUUUUCAUUGGUCAACGAGUCUACGUCGACGGUAUGCAAGCCAGGCUCUGUCUCAACAGAAAAAUAAAUAGAUUACCGCAGAGCAACUUCAGCCUGUAACCAGCUAGCUUUCUAGAUGUAGAAGUAGCUUCGUAAUGGUGAAAUGCGCCAUGCAAACCUUUCAACCACCAUUCCAGUAUUUUCCCAGUCACCUGGAAUUACAAAUAGAAUCUACAUUAUCAUGAAGAAAAUUAUACGGUAACCAUUGAUAAUAAUACAUCACCAGCUGGUCACAUGACCUCGUCAUGCAUCAUCAUCCGCCGCCAUUUUGUGUAAGGUCACGUCAUUUGUUCCACUCAACUUAGGCCUAGUUUAAGCUAGUUAAUUGUGUCUUUUCUCUAAAUAGAGCACAACAAACGUGGGUGUUUUCAUACCAAUAAAUACUCUUCAAUAUUCCUACCAUUGCCACAAAUGGGAACGUAAUGUCGUGCGUGUUUUCUACAGGUAGCCUUGCAUUCUUUGCGUCCCUAGAAACCGUCGACGUGCACAAGCAAGGUCACGCAUCAUAAAUGCCGUUUAUUCCAAAAGAAAGAGUGCUUUACCGAAACAGUAUGUCCUACAGUCCUACCUAUCGUAUAUUGUAUUGGAGUUGUUGCCUGGUAUCAAGCGCCCAUGUUUUGACGCGAAUCACUUGCAUCCAAAGACGAUUGGGUCACGUUCCUUUUCAGAAUCGCUCGUUUCUUUUAGUCCAACUGUAGCAGACACUACAUCUGCCUAUGAGCAAUGGACAAAACUGAGAAUACCUUAUCAUGAACCGUAGUGAACACUGCUGGCAACAUCCUGUUUUAUUGGCACACAACAGCAUCCCUCCUGAUCAAGUGAAAAGGAAUCCUAUGACACCGCUUGAUCUUUGUCUGACAUGGAAAUCUGAAAAUCAAAUAAGGUGGAAGAAUAACAUCUGGUUAAAAAAUUUAUGUGGAAAAAUAUCUGCUUUAAAGUGAUGUCAUGAACUGGACGCUGCACUCUUGAUUCCAACACUAAUAUUGUCAUGACCAAAUGUUAAAGUUCAUAUUCAGCAAGUUGAAGAUAACUGACACCAUCUUUAAGUAUAAGUUGCACAAAUAUGGUAUUCAGAAGUUUUUUGUUUUCACUACUGAUGUAUAUAUAGUAUAAAAAAAUGGAUUUCUGUAAUAGAAUAAAGUAUUGGAAUACA